This 369-nucleotide ribosomal RNA is filed under the name Triticum aestivum (bread wheat). RNAcentral describes it as "partial small subunit ribosomal RNA". The record is from RNAcentral. Lineage: Eukaryota; Viridiplantae; Streptophyta; Magnoliopsida; Poales; Poaceae.
AUGCUGCCUUGUGAUUUCUUUGCUUCUGCCUUGCAUUGCAUGAUGCCAUCUGUUAAAGUAGACUUGAAAAACUAUUUGCUUGGACAUGAUCAUACACACCCUGUUAGUGGCAUUGCUCAUAUCUCUGUUCAUGAUACUUAUGUUCCUAAUGCUAUACCCAUGCUUAAUGAAACGUGUGAUUCUAAUACUAGCAUUGAGCUUAUUGAUUGGUACCAUCCUAAACAUGUGCUUUAUAGCUAUGCUUAUGUAAUUGGAUAUUCGAUUGAUGACUUGGAGGGUAUUAUCCCUACCACUUGCAUUGUCUCUUUCGUUGAGUGCUCUUUCAGGUUCUUGCUUGUGCACGAAUCACUACAUGCUGACCAAGUUUGA